AGAGUUUGAUCCUGGCUCAGGAUGAACGCUGGCGGCGUGCCUAAUACAUGCAAGUCGAGCAAACAGAUAAGGAGCUUGCUCCUUUGACGUUAGCGGCGGACGGGUGAGUAACACGUGGGUAACCUACCUAUAAGACUGGAAUAACUCCGGGAAACCGGGGCUAAUGCCGGAUAACAUGUUGAACCGCAUGGUUCUACAGUGAAAGACGGUCUUGCUGUCACUUAUAGAUGGACCCGCGCCGUAUUAGCUAGUUGGUGGGGUAACGGCCUACCAAGGCGACGAUACGUAGCCGACCUGAGAGGGUGAUCGGCCACACUGGAACUGAGACACGGUCCAGACUCCUACGGGAGGCAGCAGUAGGGAAUCUUCCGCAAUGGGCGAAAGCCUGACGGAGCAACGCCGCGUGAGUGAUGAAGGUCUUCGGAUCGUAAAGCUCUGUUGUUAGGGAAGAACAAAUGUGUAAGUAACUGUGCACAUCUUGACGGUACCUAACCAGAAAGCCACGGCUAACUACGUGCCAGCAGCCGCGGUAAUACGUAGGUGGCAAGCGUUAUCCGGAAUUAUUGGGCGUAAAGCGCGCGUAGGCGGUUUUUUAAGUCUGAUGUGAAAGCCCACGGCUCAACCGUGGAGGGUCAUUGGAAACUGAAAAACUUGAGUGCAGAAGAGGAAAGUGGAAUUCCAUGUGUAGCGGUGAAAUGCGCAGAGAUAUGGAGGAACACCAGUGGCGAAGGCGGCUUUCUGGUCUGCAACUGACGCUGAUGUGCGAAAGCGUGGGGAUCAAACAGGAUUAGAUACCCUAGUAGUCC
RNAcentral lists this ribosomal RNA (806 nucleotides) under uncultured bacterium. RNAcentral describes it as "bacterial SSU rRNA". It matches the Rfam family "Bacterial small subunit ribosomal RNA", at positions 8 to 796 of the family's 1533-position model. The record is from RNAcentral.